Molecule: long non-coding RNA, 215 nt
Filed under: Elaeis guineensis (African oil palm)
Lineage: Eukaryota; Viridiplantae; Streptophyta; Magnoliopsida; Arecales; Arecaceae
Description: long non-coding RNA (EGUI_LNC065224)
Source: RNAcentral
UUGGUAACAUGCACACUGAUGUGUAAGCAACUCUUUGCUCAGAUGCUUCUCUAAACAUGUUGCAGCAACUUGGUCUUUAAGUCAUGUAGGCUCACCUAACAGUUAUUGCCCACACUUCUUAGUUAAACCUGACCCACCAUUCGCAAACAGGUGCAAGGCCAUCAUUAGAUCCCUCACCUAAUAGUUAUUGGGCCCAACCCCAUCCUUACCCUGGA